Molecule: ribosomal RNA, 415 nt
Filed under: Vibrio sp. P5-19
Lineage: Bacteria; Pseudomonadati; Pseudomonadota; Gammaproteobacteria; Vibrionales; Vibrionaceae
Description: bacterial SSU rRNA
Rfam family: Bacterial small subunit ribosomal RNA
Source: RNAcentral
AGCGGAAACGAGUUAUCUGAACCUUCGGGGAACGAUAACGGCGUCGAGCGGCGGACGGGUGAGUAAUGCCUGGGAAAUUGCCCUGAUGUGGGGGAUAACUAUUGGAAACGAUAGCUAAUACCGCAUAACGUCUACGGACCAAAGAGGGGGACCUUCGGGCCUCUCGCUUCAGGAUAUGCCCAGGUGGGAUUAGCUAGUUGGUGAGGUAAUGGCUCACCAAGGCGACGAUCCCUAGCUGGUCUGAGAGGAUGAUCAGCCACACUGGAACUGAGACACGGUCCAGACUCCUACGGGAGGCAGCAGUGGGGAAUAUUGCACAAUGGGCGCAAGCCUGAUGCAGCCAUGCCGCGUGUAUGAAGAAGGCCUUCGGGUUGUAAAGUACUUUCAGUCGUGAGGAAGGCAAUAUAGUUAAUAG